This 454-nucleotide ribosomal RNA is filed under the name uncultured bacterium. RNAcentral's name for it is "bacterial SSU rRNA". It matches the Rfam family "Bacterial small subunit ribosomal RNA", at positions 340 to 786 of the family's 1533-position model. The record is from RNAcentral.
UACGGAAGGCAGCAGUGGGGAAUAUUGCACAAUGGGCGCAAGCCUGAUGCAGCCAUGCCGCGUGUAUGAAGAAGGCCUUCGGGUUGUAAAGUACUUUCAGCGGGGAGGAAGGCGAUGCGGUUAAUAACCGCGUCGAUUGACGUUACCCGCAGAAGAAGCACCGGCUAACUCCGUGCCAGCAGCCGCGGUAAUACGGAGGGUGCAAGCGUUAAUCGGAAUUACUGGGCGUAAAGCGCACGCAGGCGGUCUGUUAAGUCAGAUGUGAAAUCCCCGGGCUUAACCUGGGAACUGCAUUUUGAAACUGGCAGGCUUGAGUCUUGUAGAGGGGGUAGAAUUCCAGGUGUAGCGGUGAAAUGCGUAGAGAUCUGGAGGAAUACCGGUGGCGAAGGCGGCCCCUGGACAAGACUGACGCUCAGGUGCGAAAGCGUGGGGAGCAAACGAGGAUUAGGAUACC